GACGAACGCUGGCGGCGUGCCUAAUACAUGCAAGUCGAGCGAAGUUUUUCUGGUGCUUGCACCGGAAAAACUUAGCGGCGAACGGGUGAGUAACACGUAAAGAACCUGCCUCAUAGACUGGGACAACUAUUGGAAACGAUAGCUAAUACCGGAUAAUAGCAUUAACUGCAUGGUUGAUGUUUAAAAGUUGGUUUUGCUAACACUAUGAGAUGGCUUUGCGGUGCAUUAGCUAGUUGGUGGGGUAAAGGCCUACCAAGGCGACGAUGCAUAGCCGACCUGAGAGGGUGAUCGGCCACACUGGGACUGAGACACGGCCCAGACUCCUACGGGAGGCAGCAGUAGGGAAUCUUCCGCAAUGGGCGAAAGCCUAACGGAGCAACGCCGCGUGAGUGAAGAAGGAUUUCGGUUCGUAAAGCUCUGUUGUUAGGGAAGAAUGAUUGUGUAGUAACUAUACACAGUAGAGACGGUACCUAACCAGAAAGCCACGGCUAACUACGUG
This 499-nucleotide ribosomal RNA is filed under the name uncultured bacterium. RNAcentral's name for it is "partial 16S ribosomal RNA". It matches the Rfam family "Bacterial small subunit ribosomal RNA", at positions 28 to 507 of the family's 1533-position model. The record is from RNAcentral.